CGCGUGUGCGCCUAUCAACUAAUUAUUGACGUUAUGAACAUGAUAUUUCGUUAUCGGUCGUUUUAUUUUUUACUAUACCUACGCGUAGCUAUUAUGUGUCCGUUGUAUAUUUGACCGAUCGGCGUAUCGUCGGAUCGUCGACGCUCCAGAUCGAUUGUCAACCAUCUCUUUCCUGGUUCCUACCUAUGCACUCCACCUGCAGGACCCAUUCCCUGUUCCACUUGCUCGACUCUGCACCUCUUAUGGGUUUCAAUAAUUCCCUCUGCUAAACGCUGUUCAGUCCGGUCUCUUUCCGCCUCUCGCCUUAGAUUUAUGUUACCCCGCUGUUGUCACCCCAUCCGUCUAUAGUUCUAGUCGACUUUAAAAUCGUCGCGUACGAAAUUUCCCGUUUUUGAUGUUUAAAAUGUUAACGAAUAAUCACACGGAGUUCUGAAUGACCGCGGCUAUUUCGAUUCAAUUCGAUUCGUACAAUAAAUAAUACAGAGAGAGGAUAUUAUUGUCGACGACCUAAAAAAAAGAAAUGACCGAAAUCGACCGAUCAAACAUUUUCCCGAGCGAAUCUGGCACGCAGCCACGCUCGCGGUUUCGAAACGCGCUGCGGCGUAUCCCGACCGCGUCGAUAACGAAUACGAUAUGCAUAUUAAUUACCCUAAAAAAAAAAAAAUAAUAAUAAUAAUAAUACUUCGAAAACAUCGAAUAUUUGUAUUAUGUAGGUAGCGAUGAUUAUUUUAUUUUCGUGUCGUGAAAAAAAAAAACGAAUAUUACGCUGUUAUGUGGGUAUACCUCGGCCUAUUAAAUAACGUCGAGACACAAAUAAAAUACAUACGUGUCCAAGGUAAAAGAUAAUACCGCGUCGUAUUAUAUUCAAAACUAUAUACAGGGCGAUCGACGUAUAGCGUAAAACACUCGUUAUCUCGGGAAGUGUCGACUCCGUUCGAAAUUCGUUUUCUAAAUC
Non-coding RNA from Cinara cedri, 955 nucleotides. The record is from the annotation of a GenBank genome assembly. Lineage: Eukaryota; Metazoa; Arthropoda; Insecta; Hemiptera; Aphididae.